Molecule: ribosomal RNA, 468 nt
Filed under: uncultured bacterium
Lineage: Bacteria
Description: partial 16S ribosomal RNA
Rfam family: Bacterial small subunit ribosomal RNA
Source: RNAcentral
GACGAACGCUGGCGGCGUGCUUAACACAUGCAAGUCGAACGGAAAGGCCCUGCUUUUGUGGGGUGCUCGAGUGGCGAACGGGUGAGUAACACGUGAGUAACCUGCCCUUGACUUUGGGAUAACUUCAGGAAACUGGGGCUAAUACCGGAUAGGAGCUCCUGCUGCAUGGUGGGGGUCGGAAAGUUUCGGCGGUUGGGGAUGGACUCGCGGCUUAUCAGCUUGUUGGUGGGGUAGUGGCUUACCAAGGCUUUGACGGGUAGCCGGCCUGAGAGGGUGACCGGCCACAUUGGGACUGAGAUACGGCCCAGACUCCUACGGGAGGCAGCAGUGGGGAAUAUUGCAAAAUGGGCGGAAGCCUGAUGCAGCAACGCCGCGUGCGGGAUGACGGCCUUCGGGUUGUAAACCGCUUUCGCCUGUGACGAAGCGUGAGUGACGGUAAUGGGUAAAGAAGCACCGGCUAACUACGUG